CAUUCCACUUGAAUUGAAAGGAGAGACACUACCACAUGGUCUAUUGCUCUCUUCCCUAUAGUUUGAAUUCAACAUUGCUAAUUCUCUCAGUUGAUGCCUCUUAUAGAUAUCCUGUGACUCAUCCACAGGUUUAAGCAGUUCUUCAAUUAUUUCCUGCGCUUGUCUCAUUUGCAUAUCAAUAAUAUUGACAGGUAAUUCAGCCUCAAUUAUAAUGUGCAGAGGAUCACUCAGAUGCUCAUAGCCUGGUCUUCCCCUUAAUGA
Molecule: unclassified non-coding RNA, 261 nt
Filed under: Hevea brasiliensis (rubber tree)
Lineage: Eukaryota; Viridiplantae; Streptophyta; Magnoliopsida; Malpighiales; Euphorbiaceae
Source: RNAcentral